Erinaceus europaeus (western European hedgehog) is the source of this 1343-nucleotide long non-coding RNA. RefSeq lists it as uncharacterized. NCBI's taxonomy places the organism in Eukaryota, Metazoa, Chordata, Mammalia, Eulipotyphla, Erinaceidae. The transcript has 2 exons. The record is from RefSeq and is a predicted model, not a curated record.
CUAGCUCCCAUUCAUUCUCAAUUGCUGUCUCUAUCCAAUACCUACAUAAACAAUAAAAAGAAUAAAGAAUAGAAAAUUAGCCCAGGGAGGUCUCAGCCUAGGUUCAUUCCCUGUCACCACUUGAAAUAAUAAUAAUUCUUUCCAUCACCUGGGUAGCAAGGUGUGUCCAGGUGAUGUAAGCGUGGAAGGUGUGUGUGCUAUUCCAGAAUGUGCCAGCGAGGGUAGGAUGGGGUGGAACUCUUCCUUAUUCUCUCCUGCUACAAACUAGCAGUAGUGGCCAGGUUUUGUGGGUCUGUAAGGACAAAGGCCACCCAAGCGUGGCAAAGCAGAAAAUUGGAGGCAGCCCACACCCCAGGCAAAGCAGGGCAGCACACAGCCUCUACCCAAAACGGCAAAUGGGAGAGACAGCAACACCCACAGUACCGGGGCAGGUGGUAAGAAGCUCAGCUCCACAGCUGCGUAUUCUCAGAAUCCAAGUCCAAGUGGAGCUUCCGGGAGGACCCGGGCAUCCCCCAGAGCACCUUGCCGUGGAGGCUGGAUAACCAAGCCUGCCAGGAGCUGCAGCCACACCUCGGACCCCCACAGGCUGAGGUUCUGUGAGCUGUUCUCUUGCUUCUGGAAGGUCAGCAGCCAGGAGCCCCAGCUGACAGACAGCAGCAGCUGGGCAGCCGGCAGCCACCAGCCAGCAUGGGAACAGGAAGGAGCAGCCAGCAGCUUCUGUCUCCCCCAAACACAACCUCCCAUGACCCCCCGUGCUCAGGCAGCCAUUACUGCUCUCCAACAAGUGAGCCCAGAGCUUGGGGGCUCCCACUGAGGCCCCUCGCCUAGGAACUCUGGGUGCGUUACACAGUCAGGGGUCCCAGGAAGUUCUGAGCAAACCCUCUAGAGAAACUUUAUUACUGUUUGAGUCUUAUUUUCAGAGGGAGAGAACAGCACCGAGAGCCCUGGCUCUAAGUGUCAGAAAAUCUGGAAGAAGAAAGAAGAUGGGAGGGAAAGGAAGGGAGUGAGCAGGUGCAAAGUUCUGGUUGGGAACCAGGCUCUGUCUCACACAUGAGCCUCGCCUCGCCAUGUCGUUCCCAGUCCCUUGCUGACAAUACUAUGGCGCUAUGAGGAGGGAAGUGUCCCAGUGCUAACCCUGACUCCCUGAGCUAAGUCUCAGGGAGUUAACUCCUGAGCUAAGUCCUGACUCCUAAGUCUCCAGGCCAGGGAGGGUGGCUCAGCAGUAGAGUCCAAGAUUUGCAUGCAUUAGGACCCUGGGUUCAAUCCCCAGCACCACAUAUGCUGAAGUGAUGCUCUGGUCUCUCUCCAUCAUGACAUAUAAUCAAUAAAUACCUUUAUCUUAA